Molecule: ribosomal RNA, 202 nt
Filed under: uncultured bacterium
Lineage: Bacteria
Description: partial 16S ribosomal RNA
Rfam family: Bacterial small subunit ribosomal RNA
Source: RNAcentral
UACGAAGGGGGCUAGCGUUGUUCGGAAUUACUGGGCGUAAAGCGCACGUAGGCGGAUACUUAAGUCAGGGGUGAAAUCCCGGGGCUCAACCCCGGAACUGCCUUUGAUACUGGGUAUCUCGAGUCCGGAAGAGGUGAGUGGAAGUUCCGAGUGUCAGAGGUGAAAUUCGAUAGAUAUUCGGUAGGAACACCAGUGGCGAAGG